GCGCAGCCCUGAAAUCUUUGGGGCCAUUCGUCGCAAGAUGAAUUGAGAAAAACUGGGUGAAUUCGGGGAACAUCGGUCAUUUUACAAAGUUCAGAGUAAAUGCCCGCCAAUCCCGAACCAAGCCUCGCAGGGUUCCGCCAAUCGACGGAAGUUGCAAGGAAGGCGUAGAGACUAACAGGUGAGUCCCAACAAUAAUCCUGUAAAAGCGCCCAGCCCCUAAAUCGGGUUUCCCGAUCGGGUGAUGAGAUAGUCCAAAUAGCCUCGGAAGAGGCUG
Parcubacteria group bacterium is the source of this 274-nucleotide non-coding RNA. The record is from Rfam.